This 73-nucleotide transfer RNA is filed under the name Ovis aries (sheep). It matches the Rfam family "tRNA". From Rfam's summary of the family: Transfer RNA (tRNA) molecules are approximately 80 nucleotides in length. Their secondary structure includes four short double-helical elements and three loops (D, anti-codon, and T loops). The record is from Rfam by way of RNAcentral. Lineage: Eukaryota; Metazoa; Chordata; Mammalia; Artiodactyla; Bovidae.
UCCCUGGUGGUCCAGUGGCUAAGACUCCAUGCUCCCAAUGCAGGGGGCCUGGGUUCGAUCCCUAGUCAGGGAA